RNAcentral lists this ribosomal RNA (383 nucleotides) under uncultured eukaryote. Its description in RNAcentral is "partial 18S ribosomal RNA". It matches the Rfam family "Eukaryotic small subunit ribosomal RNA", at positions 592 to 977 of the family's 1831-position model. The record is from RNAcentral.
UGUAAGCGUAUACCAAAGUUGUUGCAGUUAAAACGCUCGUAGUCGGAAUUUGGCAGUUCCGGAAGUGUGCACGUCGUGUGCGCACUUUGCGGGGACUGCUUUUGUGGUCUUGCGUAGGAUGAGGCACUUUCAUUAGUGAACGUCCUCACGCAACCACUCUUUACUGUGAGAAAAUCAGAGUGCUCAAAGCAGGCAUUUGCCGUGAAUGUAUUAGCAUGGAAUAAUAGAAUAGGACUCGGUUCUAUUUUGUUGGUUUGUUGGGACUGAGUAAUGAUUAAGAGGGACAGUUGGGGGCAUUUGUAUUCCGGCGCUAGAGGUGAAAUUCUUAGAUUGCCGGAAGACAAACUGCUGCGAAAGCGUCUGCCAAGGAUGUUUUCAUUGAC